CAGUAGCCACGGUAAUACGUAGGUGGCAAGCGUUGUCCGGAAUUAUUGGGCGUAAAGCGCGCGCAGGUGGUUUAAUAAGUCUGAUGUGAAAGCCCACGGCUCAACCGUGGAGGGUCAUUGGAAUCUGUUAAACUUGAGUGCAGGAGAGAAAAGUGGAAUUCCUAGUGUAGUGGUGAAAUGCGUAGAGAUUAGGAGGAACACCAGUGGCGAAGGCGGCUUUCUGGACUGCAACUGACACUGAGGUACGAAAGCGUGGGGAGCAAACAGGAUUAGAUACCCGGGUAGUCCCUGUCUCUUAUAC
RNAcentral lists this ribosomal RNA (301 nucleotides) under uncultured bacterium. RNAcentral's name for it is "partial 16S ribosomal RNA". It matches the Rfam family "Bacterial small subunit ribosomal RNA", at positions 509 to 807 of the family's 1533-position model. The record is from RNAcentral.